GGGGCUUUAGCUCAUAUGGUAGAGCACUCGGUUAGCAUGCGAGAGGUACUGGGAUCAAUACCCAGGUGCUCCA
RNAcentral lists this transfer RNA (73 nucleotides) under Rodentolepis nana. RNAcentral's name for it is "Hymenolepis nana tRNA". It matches the Rfam family "tRNA". Rfam says of the family: Transfer RNA (tRNA) molecules are approximately 80 nucleotides in length. Their secondary structure includes four short double-helical elements and three loops (D, anti-codon, and T loops). Further hydrogen bonds mediate the characteristic L-shaped molecular structure. tRNAs have two regions of fundamental functional importance: the anti-codon, which is responsible for specific mRNA codon recognition, and the 3' end, to which the tRNAs corresponding amino acid is attached (by aminoacyl-tRNA synthetases). tRNAs cope with the degeneracy of the genetic code in two manners: having more than one tRNA (with a specific anti-codon) for a particular amino acid; and 'wobble' base-pairing, i.e. permitting non-standard base-pairing at the 3rd anti-codon position. The record is from Rfam by way of RNAcentral. Lineage: Eukaryota; Metazoa; Platyhelminthes; Cestoda; Cyclophyllidea; Hymenolepididae.